AAGAGGAGGCACCUAUGCAUUGAAAAUGCAUACUGGAAUGUGCCGACGAAAUGCCGCCGAACGAAUGUGAGGGGGCAAUACUAAAG
Molecule: small RNA, 86 nt
Organism: Coprococcus sp. CAG:782
Lineage: Bacteria; Bacillati; Bacillota; Clostridia; Lachnospirales; Lachnospiraceae
Rfam family: GA-cis RNA
Source: Rfam